RNAcentral lists this unclassified non-coding RNA (250 nucleotides) under plant metagenome. RNAcentral describes it as "partial contains small subunit ribosomal RNA, internal transcribed spacer 1, and 5.8S ribosomal RNA". The record is from RNAcentral.
GUAGAUAAACCUGCGGAAGGAUCAUUAACACGAUCCAACGUUAAACCCCCGUGCAUUUUAACCUGCUCUCUUCGCCUUGACAAAGCAAUCUCUGGUAAAUCACGCGAACAGUUUGAUUCAGACUUCUUCGAGACGCGUGGAUGGAGCGGUAGAGCAAUUAGACUUGGUUUCCGCAAGGAUAACUGAUACUUACUCAGAUCGUUGACCCUCCGGUCAACGGACAGGUCUCUGGCUUACGCCCCAUAUUAAC